GAUCUUGAAUCCUUAGUGGCGCAGCUAACGCACUAAGUUGACCGCCUGGGAGUACGGCCGCAAGGUUAAAACUCAAAUGAAUUGACGGGGGCCCGCACAAGCGGUGGAGCAUGUGGUUUAAUUCGACGCAACGCGAAGAACCUUACCUGGCCUUGACAUGCAGAGAACUUUCCAGAGAUGGAUUGGUGCCUUCGGGAACUCUGACACAGGUGCUGCAUGGCCGUCGUCAGCUCGUGUCGUGAGAUGUUGGGUUAAGUCCCGUAACGAGCGCAACCCCUAUCCCUAGUUGCUAGCAGUUCGGCUGAGAACUCUAGGGAGACUGCCGGUGACAAACCGGAGGAAGGUGGGGAUGACGUCAGGUCAUCAUGGCCCUUACGGCCAGGGCUACACACGUGCUACAAUGGCGCGCACAGAGGGCUGCAAACCCGCGAGGGGGAGCCAAUCUCACAAAACGCGUCGUAGUCCGGACCGGAGUCUGCAACUCGACUCCGUGAAGUCGGAAUCGCUAGUAAUCGUGAAUCAGAAUGUCACGGUGAAUACGUUCCCGGGCCUUGUACACACCGCCCGUCACACCAUGGGAGUGGAUUGCACCAGAAGUAGUUAGUCUAACCUUCGGGAGGACGAUUACCACGGUGUGGUUCAUGACUGGGGUGAAGUCGUAACAAGGUA
RNAcentral lists this ribosomal RNA (669 nucleotides) under uncultured Gammaproteobacteria bacterium. RNAcentral describes it as "bacterial SSU rRNA". It matches the Rfam family "Bacterial small subunit ribosomal RNA", at positions 828 to 1498 of the family's 1533-position model. Lineage: Bacteria; Pseudomonadati; Pseudomonadota; Gammaproteobacteria. The record is from RNAcentral.